UCAGUUUGAUGGAUCAUCUGG
This 21-nucleotide non-coding RNA is filed under the name Arabidopsis thaliana (thale cress). The record is from RNAcentral. Lineage: Eukaryota; Viridiplantae; Streptophyta; Magnoliopsida; Brassicales; Brassicaceae.